Molecule: long non-coding RNA, 1962 nt
Organism: Papaver somniferum (opium poppy)
Lineage: Eukaryota; Viridiplantae; Streptophyta; Magnoliopsida; Ranunculales; Papaveraceae
Exons: 2
Source: RefSeq, a predicted model, not a curated record
ACAGAGGAAACGAGAAGAAGGGAAGUUGGAAAACAAUCUUCAAAUUUGUAGUGAAACCGUGUUCGGGAACAUAAUAUUGUUUAUGGGAAGUUGAUUCAAUGAUUGGCGCACAAACUCUCGAGGGUUGUGGUCAAGGGAAACUUCCAUGGAAUCAGAUAAGUAACUAUCUCCCUUUGAUUUUCCGUCUUAUUCCUUUGCUGUGAUUACAUGAAUCACGACUUUUAAUUGCUUAAAUUAAAUAUUGCUUGGAUGAUUGAGUUGCUACAACUCAAAAGUCAAAACCCUGGUAAUUUAUGAUUCAUAUGAUUUACAAAUCCAUUUGAUUGGAUUUUGAAGAGAGGAAUCCUAACGGAAAAUGGAAGUGCCUCUUAUGGAAACUGAAUGUUUCAUUCUAGUAUACAUGAGUAUUCAUGAUGGAGUCAUGAUAAUAACGUCUUAGUGUUUUUUCUUUAUCUAUAAACAUCAUAUAAAGAAAAACAGAGAAUCGCAAGGCCUUGAAGGUCCAGUGAUACAACAAUCCUUUCCGUUCUCUGUUUUAUUCAUCCUCUGUUUUUUAGCCCAAAUUUCCAACAGUUUUCAGCAAUUGGGUUUCGACAAUGGAGGAUUAAACAUACUGUUGUAUGUGAACGGGUUGCAUUAUCGGACUUUAGUUUUACCCAUUCAUCCAGAAGUUGGGUUUUUGUCCAUACACGGAAUACUUUCAGAAGGGAAAACAGACACUUAGAAAUUAUGGGUUGAUGCAGACACUUACCAGGUCUGCAAAAGCGAGCCAAGUUCAAAAGAUUGGACUUGAAGAUUUCCAUUUAGAAAUUAUGGGUUUCAUUGUAACAUGAAAUGGAUAGAGAUGACCUGUCUUUUAUACAUGCUAGAUUUAAUUUGUUAGGGAUGCUAGUGUACUUGAUUUUACAUGGAAGUUUACUUGACCUUAUUAUCGUGCAUUUAUAUAUAUAUAGUGGUCUAUGUGUUUUUUCAGUAAGAGCCAAAUCCAAUGGGAAAAUUGAAAAAAUGAAGAUAAAGAAUGAUCGGUGGAGAAUCUUUCUGACACCAAGAAAUGGUAUCUACAAUUUGCCCCUUUUCUUGAGGGUUUUGUUAAACAAUCCUUGAGAAAAAAUCACUCCUGUCUUAUUCAUCCAUACUUCGGUUGCCAUUUCCUUCAAUUGCUCCUUAUCGUUGGGAUUGGUGCUGAGUUCUGGGUGAACUAUGCUUCGUUUUGCUUUCAUCGCUGUCAUUGGACAUAUCGCCUAUGUUGCCUGGCCUGAGCUAUCCAGGUUGCUAUUGUUAUCAUCGUCGCGCUAUGCACCAUCAUCGUCGUCGCUUGUGAGUCUCAUUUCGGGUAAUCAAAUGAGCAGCGACAUGGGUUAAUGACUCCAGCGGGUGGUAAUAGCUAUGUCCAUCACUUAGAGGCCGCAUCUUGAUAGCAUCAGCCGUGCCUUCAUUCUUACAGCAGAGUUGGGCUUGCCACAGCAACAACAACACAGGUGCGUCUCAACAACAUAAGUGGAUCUUCAUCCAUCAUAUUCCGAGAAUGAGGCGCAGCAUAAGUGGAUCUCAGCAUCAUAGCAAUAUCGCUUUGUUGGCACAUCAGGAUUGUUGACAGCAGCGACAAAAACUUUGGGCAGAAACAUUGCUUUAUUCACAUAACAACUCCGGCGUCGGUCAGGAAACAUCUCUUUUGUUGAUACGUACCAGUAGUUGUUCGUAGCUUCUUGGCCUUGUCUACAUACAACUUUAUUGGUUUGCUUGCCUUCCUCCUUACAGCUCCCACAGUUUUCUUAUGUUCGUCUUCAUGCUCAUGUGGCUCUUUGCUUGAGCCAAGGAUCAUACAUGGGCCUCGUAGGAUUACUUAAAUUUAUCUGGCACAAAAAUGUAAGUGCACGAUAUUUCAUGUAUUAUAAUCAAUAAGGUAAAUUCAUGGUAUAAGUAAUAACAUCAGUGAAUAAAUGUCAACUUCUUUAUGCAGUA